This 3172-nucleotide unclassified non-coding RNA is filed under the name Leishmania donovani. Its description in RNAcentral is "gene:LdHU3.20.0620(CDS-product:hypothetical_prote in_conserved)". Lineage: Eukaryota; Euglenozoa; Kinetoplastea; Trypanosomatida; Trypanosomatidae. The record is from RNAcentral.
CCACAGGAGAAGCAGCGUGGGUUGUCUGUGACUUCCUCACUGCUCUCCCCUCCCUCUGCCAUUGUCUCCGAUCAUCAUGCAGGCGGAGUAUAAGUUCGACGCCGCGGACCGCAGGCGCGGCCCGCCGCCGAACAACCCCGAGCGCGCGCUCGACUACCGUGAGCACACCGACGAUGACAAGCUGAUGGUGCACGCAAGUCAGGUCAACUACCUCUCUAAGCCACGCCACCGCAAUUGCUUGACGGAGUUUAUCAUCGUUGAGACACCUGUAGUGUCCUUCUUGGUCGACAGCGUUGACCCGUCGCCAUGCCUGUUGCGUCGCUCAGGUCGCCAAGGUACUAAAAAUGAGGAAAAGGGAGUCAGCUAACACACGCCUGCCAUUGAUCGAGAGCGUCGAACCGAACGCAACACGAAAAGAAGCCGCUGCGAUGAUGACUAUGUUGUUUCUCCCUAGUGUCUUCCUCAACUGUUCAACAUCUAUUCAUGGGGGGGAAGCGGGGGGCGUGGGCUUGGAGCAUCCGGAGCCGCCCCCCUGUUCGUCCGAUUCUUGCUCCUUACUUCUUGAGGACGCCAUGGCAUGUCUGUUUCCUUCUGCUGUAGACGAAGGGGCACAGGGCACGGUAGCCCACCACCCCUCCCCCUGCCGUCUACGACAUCCCCAAACUCCAUAAUGGCUUUGGCAACUUAUACACCUACACCAACACACGGACGGGCUCGUGCACUUGCACCGAUACAUGUGCCACCACCAUCCUCAUCACCAACACCAAAGACAACGGGAUACACACAACGGAAAACAAACAGGAGCGCGCAGACACACCUCGCAGCGAAGAAAACUCAAGCAUACGUCGUUGAAGUCUUCCAGAGCAUUGUGGGUUCACGUGUACUUGUGUGCUUGUGUGUGUGUGUGUGUGUGUCUGCGCGCUCCUGUUUGUCUACGCCCACCUCCCUGCGCCGCUCAUUCCGUUGUUUUGUUUUUGUCUGUGUGUUCUCUCUCUCCCCCCCCCCCGUGCUUGCUUCGGAUUCCGUGCGCUUCCCGACCCCCGACUCCUUUUGCUGCUUUGCUCCGAUUUUACUCAUCACGCACGCGCGCACCCGCUGCCCCCCUCCCCCUCUCUCUAUCUCUGCCUGUGAGCCGCACAAUCGUUUUUUUUUCCCCCAAAUGUCUGUGCUUCCCACCCCCCUCCAUUACCUACGUAGGCAUUUUACUGUGUUGCAUGCGCCUUGACGUGGCCCUUCUUCGUCGUUGCCUCUCUGCCUGCGUAUCUGCGAGGCUCCUUGUCGCACACUUCAUGGCUCACCCGCAUUCUUGCCGGAAUUCUCUCUGCACCGCACGCACCUGCGCGUGCAUCUCGCCGUCUUCCAACGCGCAACGGUACGCCUUCGUGUGUGUAUGCGUGUGUGUGUGUGUUGGUGUUGUUGUUGUGCGUGCUUGUGCGAACGAGUGUGUGCACGCGGAACCGUGGCAUCUGUAUGUGCACGUGCGGCGCGAUGAGAGAGGGGGGACGGCUUUCCUUGUGCUGUUUUCGUGUGCAUUCUUGCUUCUUUCUCGACUUGUGUCCUCUUCGCUUCUGAACGACCCCCUAUCGUGAUUUCUCGUUUUGGCGGUGCGGAGAGGCGAGGGUGGGUGUGCGGGCUCUUCUGUUCUUAGUCCUGCUUUCUUUUCUUCUCGUGCUGCCCCCACCCCCCCGUGCUUCCACAAGAAGGCGUGUGCAUGCAUACGUGUGCAUGUGCAUGUGUGCUCUUGCCUUGAUCGCGUGCUGAAGUGGUCCUGCGCCGCCAUCCUUCUCUUCCUCCCAUCUUGCCGAUCGCCGGCCGCUUUCUCUGCCGCUCUUAUCCAUCCCUUUCCCUGUGUUGCACCCCUCAUCGCAGGCGCUUGCUCUCGCACCACGUCCUACCAUCUCUCCCCGUUCUCCCUCUUUUGUCUGUGUAUGCUUGCUCGUCACCCUCCGCUAACCAUCCCUCCACACACACACGCACACGCCGCCGCCCACCCCAUUGUGCGAGGUGGAUGGAUCACUUCCGUUUUCGUUGCUGUUGUUUUAGCGUUGAUGCGUGUGUGGGUGCUCGGAGGAUGGGGGAGGGGAGGGAUGCGUGCGCUAGGCAUUGUGGUACUUGCUUCAUCGACAGCGGUGCAAAACGACAGCCGACGAAGGCCAACGGUAACCGUGUAACGAUUUUUGGGGGAGGGGAAGGGACAUGCAGUGGAGACGAAUGCGAAGGAGCUCGCGCUACUUGCUCAGCACAUGCUGCACUCCUCCGUCGCGUGACCUUCACCUUUUCUAUUUUUGAUCGCCCGCCUCCCUCCUCUCCCCUCCCCCCUCGUCGUUCCCCUCGCGGACGCCCUCGCAAUCUUCUGGCCCCUCUCACGCCACAGUUGGGUGGCAUCAGGGCAAGCAGGGAGGGCCAGGCGGCGAAGCUUUCGCCAACCAUGCGAGCGGGGGUGGGCGAGCCCGGAGAGGCAGCCGGCGCACGGCACGUAUAUCCGUCUCAGAGGUGAAACGGGACGAAGGUGCAUCCGUUCGAAGGGAGAGAGGGCGUCGGAAGGAUGCAAGCACACGCUUCGUCCGCGGCAGCGGAGAGGCCAUGAGGCUCUUUGUGCCUCGGUGGAGAACGCCAUCACGCCGACCCGUGCAGCGCCGUGAGCAUCUUCUUUACCGUAGCACUCCCUCCAGGCUGUCCCAGCACGAGUCGUAUGGCGAGGAGCGAAGGAGUAUCAUGUCCGUUUUUGCAUAGACGCUCUCGGGCGGCGGUGGUGCACACAGCGUGUCUGGGGUGUCCUUCUCUUUGGUCGGCCAGGCCACUCCCCUUUAUCCUCCACCUUUCACCCCACGUACGUUUCUGGUGCGACGUCGCACCGAGCAAAAGCGCCCGAUGCCUGUGCCUGGGUAGAAGUCCGCUCACGGGAUCCCCCUCCCUUUCUCUCCUCCUCCUCCCCGCUGCCUCGCCCUCCAUUCCAUCGCUUCCACCGAAGCCUCUAUCCACGGUCCUCUUGCUCCCCUUCUUGUUUCUGUAUGGCGGACCAAACAACAUGGCGCUUCUUUCUAUGAUGUCGGUCGUCGAAUUCUUUCGCUGAGCGACUGCCCUCGCAUGCACGCCUGUGCUCAUUCGGACGUGAUUCAUCCGCCGGCCACGGCGCACUCAUCAUGCCGCGUGCUGCUUCUUCGUAACCUAG